Molecule: ribosomal RNA, 516 nt
Filed under: uncultured Bacillota bacterium
Lineage: Bacteria; Bacillati; Bacillota
Description: bacterial SSU rRNA
Rfam family: Bacterial small subunit ribosomal RNA
Source: RNAcentral
CGGAGUAACGCCGCGUGAGUGAUGAAGGCUUCGGGUCGUAAAACUCUGUUGUUAGGGAAGAACAAGUACGAGAGUAACUGCUCGUACCUUGACGGUACCUAACCAGAAAGCCACGGCUAACUACGUGCCAGCAGCCGCGGUAAUACGUAGGUGGCAAGCGUUAUCCGGAAUUAUUGGGCGUAAAGCGCGCGCAGGCGGUUUCUUAAGUCUGAUGUGAAAGCCCACGGCUCAACCGUGGAGGGUCAUUGGAAACUGGGGAACUUGAGUGCAGAAGAGAAAAGCGGAAUUCCACGUGUAGCGGUGAAAUGCGUAGAGAUGUGGAGGAACACCAGUGGCGAAGGCGGCUUUUUGGUCUGUAACUGACGCUGAGGCGCGAAAGCGUGGGAGCAAACAGGAUUAGAUACCCUGGUAGUCCACGCCGUAAACGAUGAGUGCUAAGUGUUAGAGGGUUUCCGCCCUUUAGUGCUGCAGCUAACGCAUUAAGCACUCCGCCUGGGGAGUACGGUCGCAAGACUG